RNAcentral lists this long non-coding RNA (220 nucleotides) under Mytilus galloprovincialis (Mediterranean mussel). Lineage: Eukaryota; Metazoa; Mollusca; Bivalvia; Mytilida; Mytilidae. The record is from RNAcentral.
AAAAUAAUAGCAAACUGGAAGAAAAGAAAACUAAGUAUAUUAGGAAGAAUAGUAGUAACUAAAUCUUUAAUUCUACCAAACUUAACAUAUAUAGCAUCAAAUACUGUAAUACCAAAAGAUUCGCUACAAAAAUUUAAAACCCUCAUAUACAAUUUUAUAUGGAAUGGUAAAAGAGACAAAAUUAAAAGAUCAACUCUUUCAACAGAGUACAAAAAAGGGG